CCUACGGGUGGCAGCAGUGGGGAAUAUUGCACAAUGGGCGCAAGCCUGACCCAGCAACGCCGCGUGAAGGAAGAAGGCUUUCGGGUUGUAAACUUCUUUUGACAGGGAAGAGUAGAAGACUGUAUCUGUCGAAUAAGCCACGGCUAACUACGUGCCAGCAGCCGCUGUAAUACGGAGGUGGCAAGCGUUGUCCGGAUUUACUGGGUGUAAAGGGCGUGUAGCCGGGUUGACAAGUCAGAUGUGAAAUCCUGGGGCUUAACCGCAGAACUGCAUUUGAAACUGUUGAUCUAGAGUGCUGGAGAGGCAGGCGGAAUUCCUAGGGUAGCGGUGAAAUGCGUAGAUAUUAGGAGGAACACCAGUGGCGAAGGCGGUCUGCUGGACUGCAACUGACGUUGAGGCGCGAAAGCGUGGGGAGCAAACAGGAUUAGAUACCCUUGUAGUC
Molecule: ribosomal RNA, 442 nt
Filed under: uncultured bacterium
Lineage: Bacteria
Description: partial 16S ribosomal RNA
Rfam family: Bacterial small subunit ribosomal RNA
Source: RNAcentral